AGUUGUUUAUCUUUGAGGAAAGUAAAUGUUUUGAAAGCAUUCUAAAAGAGUUCGACUCUCUUAACAACUU
RNAcentral lists this transfer RNA (70 nucleotides) under Caridina multidentata. RNAcentral's name for it is "tRNA-Ser". It matches the Rfam family "tRNA". Rfam says of the family: Transfer RNA (tRNA) molecules are approximately 80 nucleotides in length. Their secondary structure includes four short double-helical elements and three loops (D, anti-codon, and T loops). Lineage: Eukaryota; Metazoa; Arthropoda; Malacostraca; Decapoda; Atyidae. The record is from RNAcentral.